GCAGUGUCUCAGUGGCUGACCAUCUGCUCAGGAUGCAGAAAGUCCAAGGUUCAAUUCCUGGCAUUUCCA
This 69-nucleotide transfer RNA is filed under the name Sphaerodactylus townsendi. RNAcentral's name for it is "tRNA-Pro". Lineage: Eukaryota; Metazoa; Chordata; Lepidosauria; Squamata; Sphaerodactylidae. The record is from RNAcentral.